CAACAUGCUAGUUACUGCUCCAUAAGGAGGAAAGAAGAUUGGGCAGAGAAAGCAGUUGAACUGUGAAGCAGACCUGACAAAGGCUCAAGUGAAAAUUGCCCAUAGAGUGGCCUGCGUUGAGCUGAAAUGACUAAGCAUUUACUCCUCUCCCUUACUCAGUUCCCAGAUAGGGGCUGUGCGAAGGGCAAGCCCCAGGCAAAGCAACUACUUGCAAUUGAGGCAGAUGCUGAAAGAGGUGAACAGGUGGAAGCUGCCUGCAGAAUGCAUUGUUUGUGACUCAUCAGUCAAUCCUAGGGCAGGAUGUAAAAAAGAAAAAAAAAAAGCCUGAAAACAAAUUAUCUGAAAGUGGGAUUAAUAUCACACUACAUUGGGGUAGGAGCUUCAACUACUUUUCUCCAUUGCAGUUACAGGGGCAAAAAUGGCCACCUCCCUUCAUUUAUGUAAGUUGAAGAAGAAACUCAGAGUGGGUUUUCCUUCUGGCUACCACAUGCCUUUGGCAUAAUACCUUGACACAGAAAAACAGUGAUGAACUACACAUGUAGGAUCAGCCAUUAGGCCUUCCUACAGAACCAAAAGAGAUGAUCAUAGAAACUUUAUGGACCCCAAGAAUAUGCCUGGGAAGUUGGAGGCUUUUGAAAAAACACCCAUUGGCAAUGUUUAUAGCGGUGCUAUUGACAAUGGCCAAAGUAUGGAAAGAGCCCAGAUGUCUAUCAACACAUGAAUGGAUAAAGAAGAUGUGGUGACUAAUGGCUCCAUAGUACCACAGAAUAAAACUUAAAUUCCUUGGCAUGACCCACAAGGUUCUUCAUAAUCUGGCCUCAACUAUUUCCUAACCACACCUUCCGACAUUCUUCCCUUGUAUCACAAACCCCAGCCACAAUGAACUUCUUGCAUAUGGCCUCAGACACAUCAUGCUUUUCAUGCCUCUGGUUUCCUCAUAAUGAGGUCCAAAGAUCAUCAGCACUACAAUCAGUUGGGGGUAUUUUUAGAAAUGUUGACUCCGAGGUUCUACUGAAAUCUAAUUCCUGGGCAUUUAGCCAAGGAAUCUACAUUUUAACAAAUUCUCCAGGCAAUUUAUUUUUCACGUACAUUAAUAUUUGCAAGCCACAUCUCAAUCCUUAUGGUGACACCUAUGUCCUUUCCAUCUGCCCCUUCCACGGAUCAAAUAUCAUCUCCUUAAGAAAAAUCUUUUUAACCUUCUCUUUCCUCAAAUAAAAUGUACCCUUUGCCCCUUCCGUGCCUCUGCUUUACCCUAGUUAUACUUGUACCCAGCAUUUUCUGGUACUUAUGGCUUUUAUUUUUGUGACCUAUACUUUGAUUUCCUUGAGCAUCUUAAUUCAGUUGCCAACAAGCUUUUAUUGAACGCUGGUGGUCCACCAAGGGAGGAAAUGGCAUGAAGACCCCCGGAGUUUGGAGUCUGAUGGUGGAUAGGAAAAUACAAUCACAGUGAAGUGUGCAAAGUGCUAGGAAAAGCAGAAGGUAGGGUGUGUGGAAGCUACAGAGACACGUAGACUGGGGAAGCAGGCCAGGGAAGCUUCUCUGGGAACCAAUGUCUAAGUAUCAACUUGGAAAGGAAUAUUUACCCAAGGGAAGGAGGAGAGAGUAUGCCAGCUAAAGAAAGAUGCACCAUAGCAUGUGUGUGCGUGCGUGCGUGUGUGUGUGUGUCUGUGCGUAAAUGAGCGAGAACAACUCAACAUGUCCUCCAUAAUAACCAGAUGUAUCUAUAUCUGCGUGUUUUUUCCCUCAACCUUUCUCCUUCAUAAAUGAAGCCACAUUAAACAUAUUUACCAGCUUUGCAGAAAAUAGAUCCUUCCUAGACCUUGUCAGAUGGACCCUGGAGCCUCAAACCCAGCAGCUUGUGUCUUAAUAUUUCUCUCUUUCUCCUUACCCCACACCCUCCAUUUGUGUGUGUGUGUGCGUGUGCGUGUGUGUGUG
Acinonyx jubatus (cheetah) is the source of this 1935-nucleotide long non-coding RNA. RefSeq lists it as uncharacterized. The record is from RefSeq and is a predicted model, not a curated record. NCBI's taxonomy places the organism in Eukaryota, Metazoa, Chordata, Mammalia, Carnivora, Felidae. The transcript has 4 exons.